RNAcentral lists this long non-coding RNA (440 nucleotides) under Setaria viridis. RNAcentral describes it as "long non-coding RNA (SVIR_LNC008445)". Lineage: Eukaryota; Viridiplantae; Streptophyta; Magnoliopsida; Poales; Poaceae. The record is from RNAcentral.
UAUAUAUCAUCGCAAAAUACAGGAAGUUCACAUGGUGCGGCAAAUGCAUAUUAUUCACUGUAAAUUUGUAACAAAACAAGAUACACAGGACAUAAUGGUAUUUGACACGCAAGUUCAAACAGACAUGAAAACACACACAACUUAUAUCCUGCAAACGGGGACACCCACAAAGCUCCAGCACGAGAGACGCAGAGCGGCAACAAGCUAGCGCAACCCAGUGGACAUCGCACCGUCACUUCAAGACCGCGAAACCUCCGACGCCGGCCAGGAGGAGCAGCGGCAGGACGGACGCCCAGAGCACCGCCACGCCGACCGCGCGCCGGCGCGGCGGGGCCGCAGGGUCGUCGUGGGAGAGCCAGAGCCCCGUCCACGCCUCCGCCACCCCGAAGAGGACAGUCGCGGCCAGGACGCCGUAGUAGGCGCGGAGCAGCGAUCCGGAC